CUACGGGAGGCAGCAGUGGGGAAUAUUGGGCAAUGGGCGCAAGCCUGACCCAGCAACGCCGCGUGAAGGAAGAAGGCUUUCGGGUUGUAAACUUCUUUUGGCAGGGACGAAGAAAGUGACGGUACCUGCAGAAUAAGCUCCGGCUAACUACGUGCCAGCAGCCGCGGUAAUACGUAGGGAGCGAGCGUUAUCCGGAUUUACUGGGUGUAAAGGGCGCGUAGGCGGGAAUGCAAGUCAGAUGUGAAAUCUCCGGGCUCAACCCGGAAACUGCAUUUGAAACUGUAUUUCUUGAGUGAUGGAGAGGCAAGCGGAAUUCCUAGUGUAGCGGUGAAAUGCGUAGAUAUUAGGAGGAACACCAGUGGCGAAGGCGGCUUGCUGGACAUUAACUGACGCUGAGGCGCGAAAGCGUGGGGAGCAAACAGGAUUAGAAACCCCUGUAGUCC
This 443-nucleotide ribosomal RNA is filed under the name uncultured bacterium. Its description in RNAcentral is "bacterial SSU rRNA". It matches the Rfam family "Bacterial small subunit ribosomal RNA", at positions 339 to 796 of the family's 1533-position model. The record is from RNAcentral.